AAGUGCACGCCGCGCGGAGGACGAAGAGGCUGCACGCACAGCCGCUGCCGGGGGUCGGGGCCAAGUGCGCGCCUCGCCGAGGACGAAGAGGCUGGCGUGCCCGGUGGCUCGGCUAGCUCCCGGGUCCCGGCCCCGCCUGGAGGGUGGGUCCGCCGAUUACUCACUUUGUUUUUAGGGGAUUUCAGGGCCCCCUCCCGCCGAUCGGCGGAGUUUGGUGAUGUCACUCUGGGCCGGGUCUGGAGCAAAGCCAGGGCUACUGGGCUGCGGCCGCCCGCCCCGCGCAGGGAAAAGCCCGACCGGGCCUUCUGCUCCGCAGAGGCCGGGUGGUUGAACUCCGCGCGGGUUUCCUAACCGCUAAAGGUGCCUUUCGGUGGUGGCUGUCUCAGAAGCACGUUAAAAUGUCCUACCCACCCCAAUCUAGAUGCGGCUGUGGGGGAAUGGGAGCGGCCGGACCUCCCAGCCUGACAGUGCAUCAAGAGCUUUGCGGAGCCUACAGCCCGGAUGGGACGACUGAGGCCCUCCCGCUGGCGAGCUGGCCGAGGGCUCGUCCCUCUCCAGCUAAAGCGCCAGCUUACGAUACAGCCAAACUGCCGGCUCUCAUCGGCUGUGGGAGCAGGAGGCCCCCAGGGGUAAAUCCCGGAGCCUCGUCUCUGAAGCCUGGCGCUUGUGUCUCAGAAGAUGGAGUUCCUCUCUUGUGGCCCAGGCUGGAGUGCAAUAGCACCAUCUCGGCUCACUGCAACCUCUGCCUCCCAGGUUCAAGUGAUUCUCCUGCCUUAGCCUCCUGAGUAGCU
This 791-nucleotide long non-coding RNA is filed under the name Homo sapiens (human). Its description in RNAcentral is "HSALNT0363334". The record is from RNAcentral. Lineage: Eukaryota; Metazoa; Chordata; Mammalia; Primates; Hominidae.